GUGAGUGACAGUUUUUAAAUCCAUUACCAUUAGAAAACCACAGGUUUUAAGAAAAUUUUAUUUUCCAUUUAUAUUGAGGUACAAUUGACAUAUAGUAAAUUUCACCCUUUUAAGCACACAGUUCUUAGAAUUUUGAAAUACAGUUAUGUAACCACCACCACAAUCAAGAUACACAACAGUGCCAUCGGCCCCUAAAAUUCCCCCAUGCCUCUUUUGUAACCAUCCCCUCUUCAAACCGCAGCCCUUGGCAACCACUAAUCUGUUUUUCUUCCUGUAGUUUGGCUUUCUUAAGAAUGUCGUAUAAACUGAGUCAUGGAGUAGGUAGCCCUUGGUAUCCUGCUUCUUUCAGCUAGCAUAAUGCAUGUGAGAUCCAUUCAUGCUGUUGUGCAAAACAGUAGUUUGUUUCUUUUUAUUGCUGAGUAAGGAUUUUAUUGUAUGGAAUGUACCAGUUUGUUUAUCCAUUCUCCAGUUGAGAAACAUUUGGGUAGUUUUUAGUUCCUGGUGAUGACAGAUAAAGCUGCUGCAAACAUUCAUGUGCAUAUUUUCGUGAGGAUGUAGUUUUCAUUUCACUUGAGUAAAUGCAAAGCAGUGAGAUUGCUGGGUCAUACAAUCUCGUCCAGAAGUAAUAUACGUCAAGAAAGAAGAGAUUAUAAAUGUCUAGCAGGGACUGUUAGAAAUAUAUUUGGUGCCCUUGAUGAUUUCUCAAUCAAGACAGGGAACACUGAGGUACAACCACAUAGAGCAUCGGAGCUGCUACGGUAAAGGGGAAGGAGAGAUUCCUACUCUGGUUGAUGACACUGGAUCCUUGCAAGCUGGACAUCUCGGAACAACAGACACAGCUGUUCAACCUCAGAGCAAACACCAAAAUCCUAGUUUCGCCAUGAACACUGAAAUUAUGAACUACUUCAAAAUAAUAGCUUCCGUGGUGACCAGAGCAACAAAUUUUACUAGGUUUGCCUUGAAGAUUUGAAAUAUCCACAGCACCUACGUGAAUUUGCUGUGGUGCCCCAGGCUCUACCUCACUGCACAGUUUGGAAACCACAGCUUUCAGUUGUCUUCUUUUUUUAAAAUUAUUUUUAUUUUUUGAGAUGGAGUCUUGCUCUGUCAACCAGGCUGGAGUGCAGUGGCGCGAUCUCCACCUGCUGGGUUCAAGCAAUUCUUGUGCCUCAGCCUUCCAAGUAGCUGGGGUUACAGGAGCCCACCGCAACGCCUGGUUAAUUUUUGUAUUUUUAGUAGAGACUGGGUUUUGCCCUGUCGGCCAGGCUAGUCUCGAACUCCUGUCCUCAAGUGAUCCACCCACCUCAGCCUCCCAAAGUGCUGGGAUUACAAUGUGAGCUACCGUGCCCAGCCUCAGUUGUCUUCUGACUCUGAGAAGUUAAGAUUCAACUGAUUUUUAAACUUGAGGUUUGAAAUUCCUUACUAUCCACUUUUGGGACCCACUGCACUAUCAGAGAAAAGCAAGAGUAUCAGAAACACAGGUGACUGUGGAUGGAAGAGCAGUAAGCAGUUGAAGUACUUUGCUGUUUUUCCCGUAGGGGAGGACAAAUGGAUUCCUGAGGUGCAGGGCAAUCAACAGAUGAGAUCCAAGAGUCAGAACCCUGGAAUGGACCACCAGAACUUUCCCAUGGAGCCCCAGGACUUCUUCCCCCAAUUCCUGCUGUUUCUCCUCCUCCCUGUAGCAGGCUUCUUAAAGCAGGUAGUUUGACCUGCUGAGCAUCACAUUGCAUAAAACAAUGCCGGAAGACUUGAGCAAUGGUGACUUACCAAGACAGCUGGCUGCCUAUGUUUAUGGCAUUUGGAAUCCACCGGGAACACAUACAUUUGUCACAGUGUGUUCCCGAAAUAAAUGAGGCUGUCUCCCAACUGGCCCCAUAUAAUCAACGCAGCCCAGCCCCACAUAGCUACUCCAAUGAAUAAUGCUUUGUUUGCCAAAUGCAAUGGGAACCUACCACAGGCCAGGGUGCUUCCAACAACAACAACAACAAGAAACUAAAGACAGUAAGGGAGAAAGAGUGGGUAUAAGCACUUAUCAAUACAUCAGACUGGAAACUCCUAGAAUGGAAUUAUUAGAUGCAUGUAUUAUUUGGGAGCAUUAUGACCAGGAAUAUUAAUAAAACUGUGAAUAGUAUGUAUUCUUUUCAUAAUUUUGACUUAGGGAAGAGGGCAAAAAAAUAACUGUAGCUAGUUUUAGACAUCCAUAAACAAAAUUCUGUAUUACUUUCAGGUAAGACAAGAGCAAUGACAACACAGCACCACAAGCCUUGCCUGGGGUAGAGAGAUAUUAUACAAGGGAAACUGUUUAUUUGUUAGAGAAUCAUACUCAUAAUUCCCUUAAGAGUCUCUUAAUUAAUUCCCCUAAUUAGAACUUUAAUGGGUCUCCCUUUUCAUUUUCUAACAUCUUACACUGGCUACAUCAUUGAAAUAGAAUGAAAAGAAUAAACCUCUCUGCUAUUUUUUUUUAAGGUUGGC
Molecule: long non-coding RNA, 2469 nt
Filed under: Homo sapiens (human)
Lineage: Eukaryota; Metazoa; Chordata; Mammalia; Primates; Hominidae
Description: HSALNT0024938
Source: RNAcentral